Molecule: ribosomal RNA, 253 nt
Filed under: uncultured bacterium
Lineage: Bacteria
Description: partial 16S ribosomal RNA
Rfam family: Bacterial small subunit ribosomal RNA
Source: RNAcentral
UACAGAGGGGGCAAGCGUUAUUCGGAAUUAUUGGGCGUAAAGGGCGCGUAGGCGGCCUUGCAAGUGACGGGUGAAAUCCCUCGGCUUAACCGAGGAACUGCCUGUCAAACUGCAUGGCUAGAGUACGGUAGAGGGGGAUGGAAUUCCGCGUGUAGCAGUGAAAUGCGUAGAUAUGCGGAGGAACACCGAUGGCGAAGGCAAUCCCCUGGACCUGUACUGACGCUCAUGCACGAAAGCGUGGGGAGCAAACAGG